This is a non-coding RNA of Phrynosoma platyrhinos (Desert horned lizard), 72 nucleotides long. NCBI's taxonomy places the organism in Eukaryota, Metazoa, Chordata, Lepidosauria, Squamata, Phrynosomatidae. The record is from the annotation of a GenBank genome assembly.
GCCAGCAUGAUGUAAUGCUUUGAGCACUAGACUAGGACUCUGGAGAUCAGGGUUCAAUUCCCUGCUCGGCCA